UAGCGCCAAGAGUGAGGGCGUUGUGGGUUGUGGCACGCGGCUAUGAAGGGCAUCGUUGCUUUGCCGGCUGAGGCUUGACAUCAGGGCUACUGUAGUGUAGGAGAGUAAUCAGGGCUUCUGUAGUGUAGGAGAGUGCGUGUCGCAUGUGAGUGCUGGCAGGCGGGAGCAGAUGAUAUUGCACAAGGGACGAGAGUCUGGCAAUGGCAGGAGACAGGUACUAGCAUGAUGCGCCCGCUGUCGUUACUUACAUGAAACGGCGAGUUGAAAGAAGACUGGGCGCAUGUGCUUCACUGAAUUUGCACUAGCAUUCAUGGGCACGUGGAUGCCGAUUUGCGCAAUGCGCUUUAUUCUUAGGCAGCGGAUGGUCAGCUGGGCGGUGGACACAUCACUGUGAUGGGCGGCUUCUGUAUUCCCCAUCCAUGCCCUCGUGCAUUUUGUGCAUUGCAUGCAUGUGCAUGCAUGCCUGAGCGUGAGUCGAUAGCGCUGAUCAGUGACAGGCGGCGGCAUGUUGGCCUUGCCUCGUCCGUUGGCGCGACGUGAAUCCAAGGGCGGUCAUUGUUUUGCGGCUGGACGCAACGAACGCUUCGGCAGGUCUUGGAGUGUGAAGCCGAGCCUACAGGCGGGUGGAGGCGGGUGGAGCCUGGCAUAGUAAGCAAGCAAGCCUGCGGUUGAGUAUAGGGCUGCAGAGGAAAGACUGGCACUGCGGCUGCAGAAGUU
RNAcentral lists this long non-coding RNA (717 nucleotides) under Chlamydomonas reinhardtii. RNAcentral's name for it is "long non-coding RNA (CREI_LNC000877)". Lineage: Eukaryota; Viridiplantae; Chlorophyta; Chlorophyceae; Chlamydomonadales; Chlamydomonadaceae. The record is from RNAcentral.